RNAcentral lists this ribosomal RNA (212 nucleotides) under uncultured bacterium. RNAcentral describes it as "partial 16S ribosomal RNA". It matches the Rfam family "Bacterial small subunit ribosomal RNA", at positions 1289 to 1500 of the family's 1533-position model. The record is from RNAcentral.
CAGUUCAGACUGCAGGCUGCAACUCGCCUGCACGAAGUCGGAAUUGCUAGUAAUCGUAGGUCAGCAUACUACGGUGAAUACGUUCCCGGGCCUUGUACACACCGCCCGUCAAACCAUGAGAGUUGGCAACACCCGAAGUCGGUAGUCUAACCGCAAGGAGGACGCCGCCGAAGGUGGGGUCGAUGAUUAGGGUUAAGUCGUAACAAGGUACC